Molecule: long non-coding RNA, 1865 nt
Organism: Monopterus albus (swamp eel)
Lineage: Eukaryota; Metazoa; Chordata; Actinopteri; Synbranchiformes; Synbranchidae
Exons: 5
Source: RefSeq, a predicted model, not a curated record
GAAGGCAGGCUGGAGGAGAGGCAGGGACAGGGAGAGCCAGGGCCGGGGUAGGAGCUCCGACGCCGGGGGGUUACAGGGAUGGGAGGCCAGGGGUGGCUGGGGGAAAUGGUAUGAAGGUGGGAGGGCAGGCAGGACACAGGAACUGAGCUAAGGGGGGAGAAAGGUGAGGGAGAUGGAGGCUGCAAUGAAGGUGCCAUAGCUGGAGGAGGAAUGAUAGGCUAAAGAAAGGAUGAGACAGAGGAGGAGGCCAGGUAGGGAAGGUAAAGUGGCAGUGAAGAAGAACCGGGAGAAAGAGUCAAGACAGACUAGGGUGUCAGGGGUUAGACAGAAAUUUUACAUGUACUGCGUAGAAAUGCUAGAUGAUUAUAGGAGAAUACGGUUUUUAAACAGGAGAAGAUUUAUGGUAGAAACUAGGCUAAGCUGGGAGUUAAGACAGACAGACGGGCAGCAAGACAACAAGAGACCAAACAGAGGCAGAAAAGCUAGAUAAAAUCAUUACUCCACCUCUAACAGUGGUGAGUCUGGGUUCCUUAUCCUGACAUGGAUGUAAUGCUGGUUUGGACAGCGGGUGAUGUCCAAUCAGACAACAGGACCACAGGCCUUGUCAUGAUGACAACCGUGACAUCACUGCAAGGACUGGCGGAGAGAAGACAGCGGAGGCCCAGACAGACAGCGGGGAUCGGCGGGGCUGCACGCGGCCACAGCGCGCCGGCCGACGGACCCAAACCGCGCGGACUACCGGAGGGGGGAACAUGCGGAUGGACUGUUUUACCGCCGGCGUCGGGAGUUCUGCCCCGGACAAGCUGAGGCGGCCUCGCCGGAGGAAGCGGGAGGAAGGCUGAGAGAGGAGGCUGAACGAAAUGGCAUCUUGUUUAAUUUCUGCCAAUCGAGACGAGAGGAAGACAACUCCCAAACUGGCAUGAGAGAGUUACAAGAGAGUGAUGACACGAUCAAGAAAGCAGGACGUUGAAUGAACCGGAUGGUCGAUGGGAACCGGGGCAGCGGCUGCUGUAAUCUUCACUGUUCAAUUAGCUGAGCUGACAGGACGCCACCUCCACUUCAUUAACAGGGAGGAAGGUGAUGUUGGAACACAGGAGCCAGUAGUUCAAGAGAUGAAGAAGAUGCUGACAUGUCACACACACACUCACACACGCAGCAGUAAAACACUUGUUUUACUCUGUCAGUAGUGUGAGCCAUUUCCAGGUGAAGCAAAUGAAUUAAAGUGAUUCGAGCUGAACCGGUCUGAACUGGAAUGACCAGAGCCGAAGUGAAAGGAAGGCUUCAGCCGGACAGGACACAGCUCUUUGAAGUGUGUGUGUGUGUGUGUGUGUGUAUUUAUGGUGUAUGGUGUUUAUCUAAGACCUCAGCUGUUAACUGUACAAUGUCAGAUUUCUCUUUAUGUUUUCUUUGCUGUGCUGAUGAUGCUCAUGUUUAUGCACCACAACUUUGUAUGAACUGCUUUGUGUCCAUGUACCUUCAGGAAUUUUGUGGAAUAAAAAAUGUUAUCAAAAUAAAAGUGUGAAGCCACUGGGAUGCUUAUCUGGAGCUACAGGUACAUUUUGGAUUAUAAAACUUAAAAAAACUUCCUGCUUAAGAACUUUUGUCUCGUUUAGGGUCAGACGAACAUUAGCGUUUGCACACUUUCAUUUGAAACUGCAUCCUAAGCAUCAGGAUUUGAUGAUGUCCAGUGAGAAGCUAGCAUAGCAGUGGUGUUCAGUAAAAUGUUUGGUGAGUAGUUACACUUUUAGUUAAGCUGAAGGAUUACAAACAAACACUGUCUUUGCUUUGAGACCAUCUUCUUUCAAAUCCCUUAUCGAAACCAUUAGAUUAUCAAAUGGAUUGUCACCAAGCUAGAGACAACUUUG